CCUACGGGAGGCAGCAGUGGGGGAUAUUGCACAAUGGGGGAAACCCUGAUGCAGCGACGCCGCGUGGGUGAAGAAGUAUUUCGGUAUGUAAAGCCCUAUCAGCAGGGAAGAAAGAAGACGGUACCUGACUAAGAAGCCCCGGCAAACUACGUGCCAGCCGCCGCGGUAAUACGUAGGGGGCGAGCGUUAUCCGGGUUCACUGGGUGUAAAGGGAGCGUAGACGGCCGUGCAAGCCAGGGGUGAAAGCCCGGGGCCCAACCCCGGGACUGCUGUUGGAACUGGGCGGCUGGAGUGCGGGAGAGGCAGGCGGAAUUCCGGGUGUAGCGGUGAAAUGCGUAGAUAUCAGGAGGAACACCGGCGGCGAAGGCGGCCUACUGGACCGCGACUGACGUUGAGGCUCGAAAGCGUGGGGAGCGAACAGGAUUAGAUACCCGGGUAGUC
RNAcentral lists this ribosomal RNA (441 nucleotides) under uncultured bacterium. RNAcentral's name for it is "partial 16S ribosomal RNA". It matches the Rfam family "Bacterial small subunit ribosomal RNA", at positions 338 to 795 of the family's 1533-position model. The record is from RNAcentral.